RNAcentral lists this transfer RNA (75 nucleotides) under Alphaproteobacteria bacterium. Its description in RNAcentral is "tRNA-Lys". It matches the Rfam family "tRNA". Rfam says of the family: Transfer RNA (tRNA) molecules are approximately 80 nucleotides in length. Their secondary structure includes four short double-helical elements and three loops (D, anti-codon, and T loops). Further hydrogen bonds mediate the characteristic L-shaped molecular structure. tRNAs have two regions of fundamental functional importance: the anti-codon, which is responsible for specific mRNA codon recognition, and the 3' end, to which the tRNAs corresponding amino acid is attached (by aminoacyl-tRNA synthetases). tRNAs cope with the degeneracy of the genetic code in two manners: having more than one tRNA (with a specific anti-codon) for a particular amino acid; and 'wobble' base-pairing, i.e. permitting non-standard base-pairing at the 3rd anti-codon position. Lineage: Bacteria; Pseudomonadati; Pseudomonadota; Alphaproteobacteria. The record is from RNAcentral. RNAcentral also lists the same sequence under 1 other name.
GGGCCCAUAGCUCAGCGGUAGAGCAUCUGACUUUUAAUCAGGGGGUCGAUGGUUCGAAUCCAUCUGGGCUCACCA